CCUACGGGAGGCUGCAGUGAGGAAUAUUGGUCAAUGGCCGCAGGGCUGAACCAGCCAAGUCGCGUGAGGGAUGACGGUCCUAUGGAUUGUAAACCUCUUUUGUCAGGGAGCAAAGGGCGCCACGUGUGGCGCUUUGCGAGUACCUGAAGAAAAAGCAUCGGCUAACUCCGUGCCAGCAGCCGCGGUAAUACGGAGGAUGCGAGCGUUAUCCGGAUUUAUUGGGUUUAAAGGGUGCGCAGGCGGAAUGUCAAGUCAGCGGUAAAAUUUCGGGGCUCAACCCCGUCGUGCCGUUGAAAAUGGCGUUCUUGAGUGAGCGAGAAGUAUGCGGAAUGCGUGGUGUAGCGGUGAAAUGCAUAGAUAUCACGCAGAACUCCGAUUGCGAAGGCAGCAUACCGGCGCUCAACUGACGCUCAUGCACGAAAGCGUGGGUAUCGAACAGGAUUAGAUACCCGAGUAGUC
This 459-nucleotide ribosomal RNA is filed under the name uncultured bacterium. RNAcentral's name for it is "partial 16S ribosomal RNA". It matches the Rfam family "Bacterial small subunit ribosomal RNA", at positions 338 to 795 of the family's 1533-position model. The record is from RNAcentral.